CUUUACUAUAGCUUUGCAUGGAAUCCGGCACAUUCAUGUGUAGGAUAGGCGGGAGGCGAUGAAGCGGGGACGCCAGUUUCCGUGGAGCCACCCUUGAAAUACCGCCCUUGACUGGGCUGGAUUCUAACCUCUGCACAACAGAGGGACAGUGCAUGGUGGGUAGUUUGACUGGGGCGGUCGCCUCCUAAAGUGUAACGGAGGCUCCCAAAGGUUGGCUUGGCGCGGUCGGCAAUCGCGCCUGAAGUGUAAAGGCAUAAGCCAGCUUGACUGUGAGGCCGACGGGCCGAACAGCUGGGAAACCAGGGCUUAGUGAUCCGGCGGUACCGUAUGGAAGGGCCGUCGCUCAAAGGAUAAAAGGUA
Molecule: ribosomal RNA, 360 nt
Filed under: uncultured organism
Description: bacterial LSU rRNA
Rfam family: Bacterial large subunit ribosomal RNA
Source: RNAcentral